AACUUUCAACAACGGAUCUCUUGGCUCUCGCAUCGAUGAAGAACGCAGCGAAAUGCGAUACGGAAUGUGAAUUGCAGAAUUCAGUGAAUCAUCGAAUCUUUGAACGCAUAUUGCGCUCUUUGGUAUUCCGAAGAGCAUGCUUGUUUGAGUAUCAGUAAACACCUCAACCUCCUUUUGUUUUUUCAAAAGGAGGGUGGACUUGAGCUAUCCCAACAACCUUCACCGGUAGGCGGGCGGCUUGUACUGCAGGUGCAGCUAGACUUUUACCUGAGCUAAAAGCAUAUCUAUUUUGUCCUCGUCAAACAGGAUUAUUACUAUUGCUGCAGCUAACAUAAAGUAUAAUUGUCCUCAUUGCUGACUGAUGCAGGAUUUUACGACACUUUAUGGGUUGUCCAACUCGAUCUCAAAUCAAGUAAGACUACCCGCUGAAAUUAAGCAUAUCAAUAAGCGGAGGCU
This 456-nucleotide unclassified non-coding RNA is filed under the name uncultured Mortierella. Its description in RNAcentral is "sequence contains ITS2". The stretch from base 1 to 154 matches the Rfam family "5.8S ribosomal RNA". The record is from RNAcentral. Lineage: Eukaryota; Fungi; Mortierellomycota; Mortierellomycetes; Mortierellales; Mortierellaceae.